CGCGAGAAGUCCACUAAACCUUAUCAUUUAGAGGAAGGAGAAGUCGUAACAAGGUUUCCGUAGGUGAACCUGCGGAAGGAUCAUUGUCGAUACCUGUCCAAAACAGAACGACCCGCGAACUAAUAAUCACCACUCGCAGUGGGCUGGUUUCUUAGUUGAUCCCAUGCCCGCUGGAUCUGUGGCUUCGCGAACUGUCCUGGCCGAGAGAAUUAUCUCGGUUUGGUUUUGCGCGUUGCUUCCGGAUAUCACCAAACCCCGGCACGAAUAGUGUCAAGGAACAUGCAACUGAACGGUCAGCAUUUGCCUCCCUGGAGACAGAGUGAGUGCGAAUGUUGAGCUGUUUUCUAAAGUCUAAAACGACUCUCGGCAACGGAUAUCUCGGCUCUCGCAUCGAUGAAGAACGUAGCGAAAUGCGAUACUUGGUGUGAAUUGCAGAAUCCCGUGAACCAUCGAGUCUUUGAACGCAAGUUGCGCCCCAAGCCUUUUGGUCGAGGGCACGUCUGCCUGGGUGUCACAAAACGUCGUCCCCCCCUCAUCAUUUGCGGGUCRGGGACGGAAGCUGGUCUCCCGUGUGUUACCGCACGCGGUUGGCAAAAAUCUAAGCCAAGGACGCUCGGAGCGUUCCGACAUGCGGUGGUGAACUCUUGUCCACUUUCAUAUCGUCGGGCGUUCCAGUCUAAAAGCUGCA
RNAcentral lists this ribosomal RNA (688 nucleotides) under Blennodia canescens. RNAcentral describes it as "eukaryotic LSU rRNA". The stretch from base 359 to 514 matches the Rfam family "5.8S ribosomal RNA". Lineage: Eukaryota; Viridiplantae; Streptophyta; Magnoliopsida; Brassicales; Brassicaceae. The record is from RNAcentral.